Molecule: ribosomal RNA, 440 nt
Filed under: uncultured Porphyromonadaceae bacterium
Lineage: Bacteria; Pseudomonadati; Bacteroidota; Bacteroidia; Bacteroidales; Porphyromonadaceae
Description: bacterial SSU rRNA
Rfam family: Bacterial small subunit ribosomal RNA
Source: RNAcentral
UGAGGAAUAUUGGUCAAUGGGCGCAGGCCUGAACCAGCCAAGUCGCGUGAGGGAGGACGGUCCUACGGAUUGUAAACCUCUUUUGUCGGGGAGUAACGUGCGGGACGCGUCCCGUAUUGAGAGUACCCGAAGAAAAGCAUCGGCUAACUCCGUGCCAGCAGCCGCGGUAAUACGGAGGAUGCGAGCGUUAUCCGGAUUUAUUGGGUUUAAAGGGUGCGCAGGCGGCGCGCCAAGUCAGCGGUCAAAGUUCCGGGCUCAACCCGGUGUCGCCGUUGAAACUGGCGUGCUCGAGUGCGUGCGAGGAAGGCGGAAUGCGUUGUGUAGCGGUGAAAUGCGUAGAUAUUGCGCAGAACUCCGAUUGCGAAGGCAGCGUACCGGCGCCCGACUGACGCUGAGGCACGAAAGCGUGGGGAUCGAACAGGAUUAGAUACCCUGGUAGU